UGGUGGAGUGAUUUGUCUGGUUUAUUCCGUUAACGAACGAGACCUCGACCUGCUAAAUAGUACAACGUAAGCUUUGCUUAUGUAUGCACUUCUUAGAGGGACUGUCGGUUUCAAGCCGAAGGAAGUUCGAGGCAAUAACA
This 140-nucleotide ribosomal RNA is filed under the name uncultured eukaryote. RNAcentral's name for it is "partial 18S ribosomal RNA". It matches the Rfam family "Eukaryotic small subunit ribosomal RNA", at positions 1299 to 1458 of the family's 1831-position model. The record is from RNAcentral.